GCGGCGUGCUUAACACAUGCAAGUCGAACGGAAAGGCCCUGCUUUUGUGGGGUGCUCGAGUGGCGAACGGGUGAGUAACACGUGAGUAACCUGCCCUUGACUUUGGGAUAACUUCAGGAAACUGGGGCUAAUACCGGAUAGGAGCUCCUGCUGCAUGGUGGGGGUUGGAAAGUUUCGGCGGUUGGGGAUGGACUCGCGGCUUAUCAGCUUGUUGGUGGGGUAGUGGCUUACCAAGGCUUUGACGGGUAGCCGGCCUGAGAGGGUGACCGGCCACAUUGGGACUGAGAUACGGCCCAGACUCCUACGGGAGGCAGCAGUGGGGAAUAUUGCACAAUGGGCGGAAGCCUGAUGCAGCAACGCCGCGUGCGGGAUGACGGCCUUCGGGUUGUAAACCGCUUUCGCCUGUGACGAAGCGUGAGUGACGGUAAUGGGUAAAGAAGCACCGGCUAACUACGUGCCAGCAGCCGCGGUGAUACGUAGGGUGCGAGCGUUGUCCGGAUUUAUUGGGCGUAAAGGGCUCGUAGGUGGUUGAUCGCGUCGGAAGUGUAAUCUUGGGGCUUAACCCUGAGCGUGCUUUCGAUACGGGUUGACUUGAGGAAGGUAGGGGAGAAUGGAAUUCCUGGUGGAGCGGUGGAAUGCGCAGAUAUCAGGAGGAACACCAGUGGCGAAGGCGGUUCUCUGGGCCUUUCCUGACGCUGAGGAGCGAAAGCGUGGGGAGCGAACAGGCUUAGAUACCCUGGUAGUCCACGCUGUAAACGGUGGGUACUAGGUGUGGGGUCCAUUCCACGGGUUCCGUGCCGUAGCUAACGCUUUAAGUACCCCGCCUGGGGAGUACGGCCGCAAGGCUAAAACUCAAAGGAAUUGACGGGGCCCCGCACAAGCGGCGGAGCAUGCGGAUUAAUUCGAUGCAACGCGUAGAACCUUACCUGGGUUUGACAUGGAUCGGGAGUGCUCAGAGAUGGGUGUGCCUCUUUUGGGGUCGGUUCACAGGUGGUGCAUGGCUGUCGUCAGCUCGUGUCGUGAGAUGUUGGGUUAAGUCCCGCAACGAGCGCAACCCUUGUUCACUGUUGCCAGCACGUUAUGGUGAGGACUCAGUGGAGACCGCCGGGGUCAACUCGGAGGAAGGUGGGGAUGACGUCAAGUCAUCAUGCCCCUUAUGUCCAGGGCUUCACGCAUGCUACAAUGGCUGGUACAGAGAGUGGCGAGCCUGUGAGGGUGAGCGAAUCUCGGAAAGCCGGUCUCAGUUCGGAUUGGGGUCUGCAACUCGACCUCAUGAAGUCGGAGUCGCUAGUAAUCGCAGAUCAGCAACGCUGCGGUGAAUACGUUCCCGGGGCUUGUACACACCGCCCGUCAAGUCAUGAAAGUUGGUAACACCCGAAGCCGGUGGCCUAACCGUUGUGGGGGAGCCGUCGAAGGUGGGACUGGUGAUUAGGACUAAGUCAUAAC
RNAcentral lists this ribosomal RNA (1446 nucleotides) under uncultured organism. RNAcentral's name for it is "16S ribosomal RNA". It matches the Rfam family "Bacterial small subunit ribosomal RNA". The record is from RNAcentral.